GUGAAAUUACUAUAUGGGCUCGUGGCUUGGAUACCUAUCUACGUCACGGCCCAUUCGCCCCUCUCUCUAUUCUUUCCUUCAUGCCAGGUGUGCGAGCGGCCGCGCGCGAGUUCGAUCCCUGGGAUCGACACUCGUGUGUCUCAUGGCGGUUUUCCCCUUGUUACCACCAGGAUAGGUCCCAGUCUAGAUAUAGGGUAUGCACGC
This 204-nucleotide long non-coding RNA is filed under the name Setaria italica (foxtail millet). RNAcentral's name for it is "long non-coding RNA (SITA_LNC005577)". Lineage: Eukaryota; Viridiplantae; Streptophyta; Magnoliopsida; Poales; Poaceae. The record is from RNAcentral.